RNAcentral lists this ribosomal RNA (492 nucleotides) under uncultured bacterium. RNAcentral describes it as "partial 16S ribosomal RNA". It matches the Rfam family "Bacterial small subunit ribosomal RNA", at positions 29 to 507 of the family's 1533-position model. The record is from RNAcentral.
AGUGGACGCUGGCGGUAGGCCUAACACAUGCAAGUCGAACGGCAGCACAGUAAGAGCUUGCUCUUACGGGUGGCGAGUGGCGGACGGGUGAGGAAUACAUCGGAAUCUACUUUUUCGUGGGGGAUAACGUCGGGAAACUUACGCUAAUACCGCAUACGACCUACGGGUGAAAGCAGGGGAUCUUCGGACCUUGCGCGAUUGAAUGAGCCGAUGUCGGAUUAGCUAGUUGGCGGGGUAAAGGCCCACCAAGGCGACGAUACGUAGCUGGUCUGAGAGGAUGAUCAGCCACACUGGAACUGAGACACGGUCCAGACUCCUACGGGAGGCAGCAGUGGGGAAUAUUGGACAAUGGGCGCAAGCCUGAUCCAGCCAUACCGCGUGGGUGAAGAAGGCCUUCGGGUUGUAAAGCCCUUUUGUUGGGAAAGAAAAGCAGCAGGUUAAUACCCUGCUGUUCUGACGGUACCCAAAGAAUAAGCACCGGCUAACUUCGUG